This 637-nucleotide ribosomal RNA is filed under the name Staphylococcus sp. LBT3-13. Its description in RNAcentral is "bacterial SSU rRNA". It matches the Rfam family "Bacterial small subunit ribosomal RNA", at positions 714 to 1349 of the family's 1533-position model. Lineage: Bacteria; Bacillati; Bacillota; Bacilli; Caryophanales; Staphylococcaceae. The record is from RNAcentral.
GGCGAAGGCGACUUUCUGGUCUGUAACUGACGCUGAUGUGCGAAAGCGUGGGGAUCAAACAGGAUUAGAUACCCUGGUAGUCCACGCCGUAAACGAUGAGUGCUAAGUGUUAGGGGGUUUCCGCCCNUUAGUGCUGCAGCUAACGCAUUAAGCANUCCGCCUGGGGAGUACGACCGCAAGGUUGAAACUCAAAGGAAUUGACGGGGACCCGCACAAGCGGUGGAGCAUGUGGUUUAAUUNGAAGCAACGCGAAGAACCUUACCAAAUCUUGACAUCCUUUGAAAACUCUAGAGAUAGANCCUUCCCCUUCGGGGGACAAAGUGACAGGUGGUGCAUGGUUGUCGUCAGCUCGUGUCGUGAGAUGUUGGGUUAAGUCCCGCAACGAGCGCAACCCUUAAGCUUAGUUGCCAUCAUUAAGUUGGGCACUCUAGGUUGACUGCCGGUGACAAACCGGAGGAAGGUGGGGAUGACGUCAAAUCAUCAUGCCCCUUAUGAUUUGGGCUACACACGUGCUACAAUGGACAAUACAAAGGGCAGCUAAACCGCGAGGUCAUGCAAAUCCCAUAAAGUUGUUCUCAGUUCGGAUUGUAGUCUGCAACUCGACUACAUGAAGCUGGAAUCGCUAGUAAUCGUAGAU